UGUUUCGUGUUUGCAGUCUGAGCUGUAGUUUGGCGUUUUUUGGAGCAUGUCUGGAGCGGACCUAGAGUAGAUAUGUGAUUAUGUCUUAAAGGGAGGGGCUUGCGUGGGUAUUCAGUUUGGUUUUAUCAUUGAGUGUAGUGGAGGACUGACUGCAGACUGGCUCCCUCUCCUCACAUACUCGACCCAAGAGCUCUACUUUGUCCCGUAAAGAUCCGCAGGGCACAAUCAUGGAGGAAAUGGACUUCAAGAGGCGCCAGGAGCUGAGGAGGCAGAAGAGAGAGGAGAUGCGCCUGGAGGCCGAACGGUUGGCGAGGAAUGAUGAUGAUGAGGAGGAGGCGGCCCGCGAGAGGAGGCGCAGGGCACGCCAAGACAGACUGAUGACCAGAGAGAGUGAGGAUCACAGCGGACAGCCAGACAGCCUGGUCAUGACCAACAGCCACAGUGUCUCAGAAACUGUGAGCAGCUCUUACGGAGGAGUUGGCGGAGACGACGAGGACCAGGCCUUGCAGGAGCGUAUGGCCAAACGCGAGGAGAGACGGCUGAGACGCAUGCAGGAGGCGCUAGAGAGGCAGAAGCAGCUGGACGCCAUGACCUCGGAGGGCAACGACAGCAUCGCCACGGAGAAGAACAUCGCAGAGGAGGAGAGGCCUUCCUCCUUGCGCAGGGGUCGCUACCGUGACCACGAGGAGGAGGAGGGGGAGGAGGUGGCAGAGAGGUACAGCUCGAGGAGAGAGAAAGAGCGAGAGGAGCCAAGGGAGGAACAAGAGGCUGCUCCCGAGGUUGAAGAGGAAGCAGACGAGGGUGUAGAGGAAGAGGAGGAGGAGCAAGUGGAAGUGGUGGAGGAGAACCCGAGAAGGUCUUACUUGAGAGAAAUGGAAUCUACUGAAGAACCUAUAACUGAAACCAAGGAGCUCACUGAAAAAGAGAAACAUUCGGUAGUCAGUGAAAAUUCAAACCAGGUCAAGUCAGCUAAUUUAGAGGCCGAGGAGGAUGCAGGGGCAUCAGAGGAGGCUGGAGAGGUACCUGAGGAUGAUUACGUAGAUUAUUCUUCAGAGAACAAGUCUAUGGCACUCAGAAAUGAGAGUGAAGAGGACAAUGAGGUAUCUGAGAUACUGCACUCAGGGGAUAAUGAGGUGGAGGAGAGAGGCGGGGCCAGGGAGGAGCAGAGGAAGCAGAAUGGAGGGCUACACGAGGACGUGACUCCCAUACAGCACAGGAAACCCGAGAGGACCCUCAGCCGCGGCAGUGUGCGUUCCCCUGAGGUGUCCGCGGGUGACGACCAGGACGACGCGGCCCGCCUGGAGGCAGAGUGCAAGCUGGAGGAGCUCAAGCGUCGCCGUGACGAUGCGGAGAGCGAGGAGUUCGAGAGGAUGAGGCAGAAGCAGCAGGAGGCUGAAGUCGAGCUGGAGGAGCUGAAGAGGAAGAGGGAGGAGAGGAGGAAGGUGCUAGAGGAAGAGGAGAUACAGAAGAAGCAGGAGGAGGCCGAGAGAAAAGCCAGAGAGGAGGAUGAAAAGAGGAAGAUGAAGGAGGAGAUUGAAAGGCGGAGAGCAGAGGCAGCUGAGAAGAGACAGAAGGUGGAGGACGUGGACGGAGAGGGCAGACCCUUCAAGUGUGUCAGCCCUCGAGGCUCCUCUCUGAAGAUCGGAGAGAGAGCAGAGUUCCUGAACAAGUCAGCACAGAAAAGCACAGCAAAGGCAGCUCAUUCUCCUGUGGUGUCCAAGAUAGACAACAGGCUGGAGCAGUACACCUCGGCCGCUCAGAGAGAGAACAAGGAGUCUCGAUCCCCUCGCUCCGGAGCCGCGGAUCUGCCCAUGGUCACCGACGGCAUACGAAACAUCAAGAGCAUGUGGGAGAAAGGCAACGUGUUCACCUCGCCCGGAAGUGGCGGGAGCACGUUCAAGGAAGCAGCUGUGAUGAAGACAGGCGUGGCUGGUCGCAUCAACGACUGGCUGAAUAAAACCCCGGAGAGCGGCAAAACGUCAGGAGGAAGGCCAGCGGACCUGAAGCCUGUUGAUGUCACCAAUAAGAGGAGUCUAUGGGAAAACAAAGGAGCCUCUCCAACCAAGAAUUCUCAUAGCUAGUUGACCUCAGCGUUUAAUCUGGAAAAACCUGGAGAGGUGGCGGGCAGAGGAGAGACCAAAUCAGUCGCUAACGGUAUGGGACAUUAAUGUGUGGAAGGAGCCACUAAAGCUGGGGACCACGACAAUCCGAAACUCUUCCUUUUUGACUUUGUCUUAAGAACCAAAUAAAGUUCACAUUCCCAAGAAGGACCCCACAUAAACGGAGGGAUAGCAGAGAGGCUGUCCGAGCACUGUACUGAAACAGCAUUCUAUUUUUGUACGGUUGCCACGUAUAGUGCAUUUGCACAAUUAUUAUUUUUGCUUUCUAAAAGAAACAAAAUGCUGUGAAAUUUGGACAUUUGUAAUAAGUUUAAUUAAUAACUUUUUUUUUAUAAUCCUUCCAGAAAGAAAAGAAACAAAUAAAUUGAGAUUUAUCUGAUGUGCCGACAGUUUUGUUAGACGUUGAGUAGAUGAGUUAAAAGUUUCCACAUUCCAAAGAGAUGGGUGAAAUCUGUUCUCUCCCUCGCACGUCUCUUUUUUUUAUUUAUAUUUAAAGCAAAAGCUUCACACAUUCCUAUUUUAUUCAACAUUCACCCGUUCAGGAUAGAAAUAUAAGCACUUCUAGAAUUUAGCUAAUUUCACUUGUAUUAUGUCUUACCAAUAGUGCAGCAAUGGUCUGAGUAAUAUAUGUUAGCACAUGUGAUGUUUUUUGAAUAUCAUACUGUAUCUUAUAUAACGACUUUAUACUCAUAGCAAAAAUAUUUUUUGCAUUGUUUUUGUAUCCAGAAACUAUUCACCAACAGGCAGUUCAUUUAGGAGGUGAGAGGAGUGUUGACGAAGGCCCUUAUGACUUUUAUUAUCCUCUGUCAUUUUAUUUAUGUUUUCAUGUGUCCUUUUAUAUUUCUAGCUGUUUGUAGCUUUUGUACCCGAUGAUCACUUUCAAAUCUUCAGACAUUCCUCUUCAUGAGCAGGUGCACCAGUUGUCUCUGCUGCUUUAAAGCUGUAGGGUCUUUUUUUUUUUUUUAUCUAUGCUCACUCUUAUGCGCAUCAAUAUCUUUUUUAAGUAAAGGCAUUCAAAUUAAAAUCAGUGUGCCUAUAAGCAUAUAGCAAGAUGUUAGUACAUAACAAGGAUAUUUACCACUAUGUAACUCUUCUGGCCUUAGGAUUGCAAUGAAAGCAUUUUCGACAGCUGAGGUUCAUCACAUGACGGCCUCAAAGCAACUCAGUAUGAUAUAAAGACUUGUGAUUUCUUCUUCACUGACAUCUCCUUAACACAUACAUUCCUUUCCAUAAGUGUUGCACAAUGCAAGCUUGGAUGAUAUCUUUUGCUGGGGCAUUAAAUCGACCAAUGGUUCUGCACAAAAGUCUGACAAUCACAUUCCAUGGCUCCUGGAAAGAGUACAGGGGUCUUGACCAAAAUAUUUUGAAGUGUGAUUUAAUGUGACAUUUUUUGUAAUACAGUGGUUUCUUAUUGCCAUAUUGUUCUUUUUUUUUCUUUUUUUUUUUUUACAACUUUGUGUCCAUUUUGUAUUUCUUUUUAUUCCAUGUUUAACCAGACACUUGUUGUUUGUGUAGCGCUAAAGCCUAUGCAAAUCACACUAUCUGUAGUCUCUCUAAGCACUCCCAAUGUCACACAAGUGGGCAGUUUCCAACUGGAUAAAUGUUUCAAACAUUGUACCCAUGACUCAAUAACAGCAAUAAAGACAUUGAGGUAUUCAA
RNA transcript from Labrus mixtus (cuckoo wrasse), 3779 nucleotides. It is a transcript of the gene named caldesmon 1a, with no coding region annotated. NCBI's taxonomy places the organism in Eukaryota, Metazoa, Chordata, Actinopteri, Labriformes, Labridae. The transcript has 17 exons. The record is from RefSeq and is a predicted model, not a curated record.